GAUGAACGCUGGCGGCGUGCCUAAUACAUGCAAGUCGAGCGAACGGACGAGAAGCUUGCUUCUCUGAUGUUAGCGGCGGACGGGUGAUUAACACGUGGAUAACCUACCUAUCAGACUUGGAUAACUGCGGGAAACCGGAGCUCAUACCGGAUAAUAUUUUGAACCGCAUGGUUCAAAAGUGAAAGACGGUCUUGCUGUCACUUAUAGAUGGAUCCGCGCUGCAUUAGCUAGUUGGUAAGGUAACGGCUUACCAAGGCAACGAUGCAUAGCCGACCUGAGAGGGUGAUCGGCCACACUGGGACUGAGACACGGUCCAGACUCCUACGGGAGGCAGCAGUAGGGAAUCUUCCGCAAUGGGCGAAAGCCUGACGGAGCAACGCCGCGUGAGUGAUGAAGGUCUUCGGAUCGUAAAACUCUGUUAUUAGGGAAGAACAUAUGUGUAAGUAACUGUGCACAUCUUGACGGUACCUAAUCAGAAAGCCACGGCUAACUACGUG
This 497-nucleotide ribosomal RNA is filed under the name uncultured bacterium. Its description in RNAcentral is "partial 16S ribosomal RNA". It matches the Rfam family "Bacterial small subunit ribosomal RNA", at positions 28 to 507 of the family's 1533-position model. The record is from RNAcentral.